AUGAGCUAGGGGAUCAGGCACAUCACUUGACUCCUGAAGGUCAUCUGUGAAAUGAGGGAAUCGGAGAAGAUGAACUCAUAAGCCCUACAGCUUCAACUUUCUACUGAGUAUAGGAUGGUUGUUGCACUUGGGGGAGAUAAAAUGUCCAACCCAAACAACAACAAGGUAUAAAUAACCCUUUGAAUCUUGACCGGCUGCGGCUAAGCUGACCUCAAGAGAGACUCGGAGCUGACUGGAAAUGAAUAGAACAGCAGCUGUAUAGUACAAAAUCUCUCCAGUUUUUCACAGAGAUUGUAUGCGAUACUUGGACACAGACACACAUGAAGGGAAGAUAAGGUACAGAGUCACGGGGAAUACAUGGCCAUCUACAAACCAGAGAGAAAGAAGCAUGAGACAGAUCCUUCCCUCACAGCCCUGAGAAGGUACCAACGCUGCCAACACCUUGAUCAUGGACUUCCAGCCUCCCGAACUGUGAGACAACAGAUUUCUGUGAUUUGUGCCACCCAAUCUAGGCGCUUUGUUACGCGGGCUUAGCAAACCAAUAUAGGAUACGUUGCUACACCGGGCUCUGGAUUUACUGAUUAAGUAUAAUGAAACCAGGCUCUUCCUGGUGAUAUUGUCUUUUUUUUUUAAACCAUGAGCUCUAAAAGAAACGUUGUUUUGCUCAAUAUAUUGUUUAAGAAACGGU
Long non-coding RNA from Suricata suricatta (meerkat), 688 nucleotides. RefSeq lists it as uncharacterized. The record is from RefSeq and is a predicted model, not a curated record. NCBI's taxonomy places the organism in Eukaryota, Metazoa, Chordata, Mammalia, Carnivora, Herpestidae. The transcript is spliced from 3 exons.